RNAcentral lists this ribosomal RNA (253 nucleotides) under uncultured bacterium. RNAcentral describes it as "partial 16S ribosomal RNA". It matches the Rfam family "Bacterial small subunit ribosomal RNA", at positions 524 to 776 of the family's 1533-position model. The record is from RNAcentral.
UACGGAGGGGGCUAGCGUUGUUCGGAAUUACUGGGCGUAAAGCGCGCGUAGGCGGCUUUGUAAGUUAGAGGUGAAAGCCCGGAGCUCAACUCCGGAAUUGCCUUUAAGACUGCAUCGCUAGAAUCAUGGAGAGGUUAGUGGAAUUCCGAGUGUAGAGGUGAAAUUCGUAGAUAUUCGGAGGAACACCAGUGGCGAAGGCGGCUCACUGGCUCGGUACUGACGCUGAGGUGCGAAAGCGUGGGGAGCAAACAGG